AACGAACGCUGGCGGCAUGCCUAACACAUGCAAGUCGAACGAGACCUUCGGGCCUAGUGGCGCACGGGUGCGUAACGCGUGGGAACCUGCCCUUAGGUUCGGAAUAACUCCCCGAAAGGGGUGCUAAUACCGGAUAAUGUCUUCGGACCAAAGAUUUAUCGCGUUUGGAUGGGCCCGCGUUGGAUUAGCUAGUUGGUAGGGUAAAAGCCUACCAAGGCGACGAUCCAUAGCUGGUCUGAGAGGAUGAUCAGCCACACUGGGACUGAGACACGGCCCAGACUCCUACGGGAGGCAGCAGUGGGGAAUAUUGGACAAUGGGCGAAAGCCUGAUCCAGCAAUGCCGCGUGAGUGAUGAAGGCCGUAGGGUUGUAAAGCUCUUUUACCCGGGAUGAUAAUGACAGUACCGGGAGAAUAAGCACCGGCUAACUCCGUG
Molecule: ribosomal RNA, 433 nt
Filed under: uncultured bacterium
Lineage: Bacteria
Description: partial 16S ribosomal RNA
Rfam family: Bacterial small subunit ribosomal RNA
Source: RNAcentral